UGGUCACUACCAAGGCUGCUAGGAAACACCGUUUCUGGUAUGCUGUGGACGUGACCACAAAGUAACUCCUGCAGAUUUUUCAUGUUGCUGCUAUAGUAGCAUCAAAUCUGUUGGAAACAUUU
This 122-nucleotide small nucleolar RNA is filed under the name Pogona vitticeps (central bearded dragon). RNAcentral's name for it is "Small nucleolar RNA SNORA32 (ENSPVIG00000000996.1)". It matches the Rfam family "Small nucleolar RNA SNORA32". From Rfam's summary of the family: ACA32 is a member of the H/ACA class of snoRNA that guide the sites of modification of uridines to pseudouridines. The record is from RNAcentral. Lineage: Eukaryota; Metazoa; Chordata; Lepidosauria; Squamata; Agamidae.